GAGGGCAGAGCUCAGUGCUAAGAGUGUGCGCCUAGCAUGCACAAGGUCCUGGGUUCAAUCCCCAGUACCUCCA
RNAcentral lists this transfer RNA (73 nucleotides) under Camelus bactrianus (Bactrian camel). It matches the Rfam family "tRNA". From Rfam's summary of the family: Transfer RNA (tRNA) molecules are approximately 80 nucleotides in length. Their secondary structure includes four short double-helical elements and three loops (D, anti-codon, and T loops). Further hydrogen bonds mediate the characteristic L-shaped molecular structure. tRNAs have two regions of fundamental functional importance: the anti-codon, which is responsible for specific mRNA codon recognition, and the 3' end, to which the tRNAs corresponding amino acid is attached (by aminoacyl-tRNA synthetases). tRNAs cope with the degeneracy of the genetic code in two manners: having more than one tRNA (with a specific anti-codon) for a particular amino acid; and 'wobble' base-pairing, i.e. permitting non-standard base-pairing at the 3rd anti-codon position. Lineage: Eukaryota; Metazoa; Chordata; Mammalia; Artiodactyla; Camelidae. The record is from Rfam by way of RNAcentral. RNAcentral also lists the same sequence under 2 other names.